CACUUUAAGUUGGGAGGAAGGGCAGUAACUUAAUACGUUGCUGUUUUGACGUUACCGACAGAAUAAGCACCGGCUAACUCUGUGCCAGCAGCCGCGGUAAUACAGAGGGUGCAAGCGUUAAUCGGAAUUACUGGGCGUAAAGCGCGCGUAGGUGGUUCGUUAAGUUGGAUGUGAAAUCCCCGGGCUCAACCUGGGAACUGCAUUCAAAACUGUCGAGCUAGAGUAUGGUAGAGGGUGGUGGAAUUUCCUGUGUAGCGGUGAAAUGCGUAGAUAUAGGAAGGAACACCAGUGGCGAAGGCGACCACCUGGACUGAUACUGACACUGAGGUGCGAAAGCGUGGGGAGC
RNAcentral lists this ribosomal RNA (346 nucleotides) under uncultured Gammaproteobacteria bacterium. RNAcentral describes it as "bacterial SSU rRNA". It matches the Rfam family "Bacterial small subunit ribosomal RNA", at positions 431 to 769 of the family's 1533-position model. The record is from RNAcentral. Lineage: Bacteria; Pseudomonadati; Pseudomonadota; Gammaproteobacteria.